Molecule: ribosomal RNA, 495 nt
Filed under: uncultured bacterium
Lineage: Bacteria
Description: partial 16S ribosomal RNA
Rfam family: Bacterial small subunit ribosomal RNA
Source: RNAcentral
GAUGAACGCUGGCGGCGUGCCUAAUACAUGCAAGUAGAACGCUGAAGGCGGACCUUGCUCUUCUGGAUGAGUUGCGAACGGGUGAGUAACACGUAGGUAACCUGCCUUGUAGCGUGGGAUAACUUUUGGAAACGAUAGCUAAUACCGCAUGACAACAGCUAUUGCAUGAUAACUGUUGAAAAGUGGCAACUGCUGCACUACCAGAUGGACCUGCGUUGUAUUAGGUAGUUGGUGAGGUAACGGCACACCAAGGCGGCGAUACAUAGCCGACGGGCGAGGGGGAGCAGCCACACUGGGAGGGAGACACGGCCCAGUGGCACUCGGGAGGGAGCAGGAGGGCAACGGGGGGCAUGGGCGGAAGACUGAGCGAGAAACGCCGCGUGAGUGAAGAAGGUUGUCGGGUGGGAAAGGUCGGUUGUAAGGGAAGAACGAGUGUGAGAGUGGAAAGUACACAGUGUGACGGUAACUGAUCAGAAAGCGACGGCUAACUACGUG